UAACUACGUGCCAACUCCCGCGGUAAUACUAUGGGUGCAAGCGUUGAUCCGAAUUACUGGGCGUGAAGCGUACGCCUACGGUUUGUUAAUCGAGAUGUGAAAUCCCCGGGCUCAACCUGGGAACUGCUUUUCGAACUGUCAAACUACAGUAUGAUAGAGGGUGGUAAAAUUUCACGUGUACCGGUGAAAUGCUUAGAAAUCUUAAGGAAUACCGAUGGCGAACGGAGCCUCCUGGGUCAAUACUGACGCUCAUGUACGAAAGCGUGGGAAGCAAACGGGAUUAUAUACCCCGGUAUUCCACGUCGGAAACGAUGUCUACUAUGAGCUGGAAUCUUCGGAUGACUUUUCCAAAGCUAACGCAUUAAGUAUACCGCCUGGGGAGUACGUCCGCAAGGUUAA
This 399-nucleotide ribosomal RNA is filed under the name uncultured Pseudoalteromonas sp. Its description in RNAcentral is "bacterial SSU rRNA". It matches the Rfam family "Bacterial small subunit ribosomal RNA", at positions 498 to 897 of the family's 1533-position model. Lineage: Bacteria; Pseudomonadati; Pseudomonadota; Gammaproteobacteria; Alteromonadales; Pseudoalteromonadaceae. The record is from RNAcentral.